RNAcentral lists this ribosomal RNA (585 nucleotides) under Variovorax sp. RDB-066. RNAcentral describes it as "bacterial SSU rRNA". It matches the Rfam family "Bacterial small subunit ribosomal RNA", at positions 102 to 683 of the family's 1533-position model. Lineage: Bacteria; Pseudomonadati; Pseudomonadota; Betaproteobacteria; Burkholderiales; Comamonadaceae. The record is from RNAcentral. RNAcentral also lists the same sequence under 4 other names.
ACGGGUGAGUAAUACAUCGGAACGUGCCCAAUCGUGGGGGAUAACGCAGCGAAAGCUGUGCUAAUACCGCAUACGAUCUACGGAUGAAAGCAGGGGAUCGCAAGACCUUGCGCGAAUGGAGCGGCCGAUGGCAGAUUAGGUAGUUGGUGAGGUAAAGGCUCACCAAGCCUUCGAUCUGUAGCUGGUCUGAGAGGACGACCAGCCACACUGGGACUGAGACACGGCCCAGACUCCUACGGGAGGCAGCAGUGGGGAAUUUUGGACAAUGGGCGAAAGCCUGAUCCAGCCAUGCCGCGUGCAGGAUGAAGGCCUUCGGGUUGUAAACUGCUUUUGUACGGAACGAAACGGUCUUUUCUAAUAAAGAAGGCUAAUGACGGUACCGUAAGAAUAAGCACCGGCUAACUACGUGCCAGCAGCCGCGGUAAUACGUAGGGUGCAAGCGUUAAUCGGAAUUACUGGGCGUAAAGCGUGCGCAGGCGGUGAUGUAAGACAGUUGUGAAAUCCCCGGGCUCAACCUGGGAACUGCAUCUGUGACUGCAUCGCUGGAGUACGGCAGAGGGGGAUGGAAUUCCGCGUGUAGCAGUG